Long non-coding RNA from Sinocyclocheilus anshuiensis, 466 nucleotides. RefSeq lists it as uncharacterized. Lineage: Eukaryota; Metazoa; Chordata; Actinopteri; Cypriniformes; Cyprinidae. The transcript is spliced from 3 exons. The record is from RefSeq and is a predicted model, not a curated record.
CGUGAAUGAAGGAACGGAAAAGACGCGAUUGGAUGUCCAUGCUUCGUUUUAUCUAUAAAAAUCUUGCAUUUGGAUGGCCUCCUGGGUGAAGGUCAGUGGAUCAGGUGGAUGUUUGGCACAACCCGACAAAUGAAGCAGGAGAUUUUGAGCAGAGAGUCUAAAUGUCAUGAUGAAAUCUCUCAGAAGCAGCAUCACAAUAAAUCAUCGCAGACUCUCCAUCUUGGCACACGGCAUACUAUUCUCAAAUCAGAUUGCUUCAUAAGGAUCCUAUGAGAGGCCACAGACCCGAGUUACCACAGCGAUGGAAUGCAUCUUCUGUGGGUGACUGCAGUCGUGUGUCUAGUGUGUCAAAGCAAGAAAGUGAUAUUUCCUUUUCUCUGCCAAUGACUCCUUUUCGUCAAAUCCAAUGUUUACCAUCAUUUAAUUACUCUAUCUGUGCACCAGCAGAUAAUAAAAUAAAAAUGAG